ACGCAACUCUGGAGAGAGCUCAAGGUAUUAAGCGAGCCACCAAAGGGGAAAGGCCGUAAUAUCGCCGUAAACUCUCAGGUGAAAGGACAGAGAA
Molecule: non-coding RNA, 94 nt
Filed under: uncultured Cytobacillus sp.
Lineage: Bacteria; Bacillati; Bacillota; Bacilli; Caryophanales; Bacillaceae
Description: Glycine riboswitch
Rfam family: Glycine riboswitch aptamer
About the family: This family represents the bacterial glycine riboswitch. Glycine riboswitches usually consist of two metabolite-binding aptamers domains with similar structures in tandem. The aptamers cooperatively bind glycine to regulate the expression of downstream genes.
Source: RNAcentral